Molecule: ribosomal RNA, 253 nt
Filed under: uncultured bacterium
Lineage: Bacteria
Description: partial 16S ribosomal RNA
Rfam family: Bacterial small subunit ribosomal RNA
Source: RNAcentral
UACGAAGGGGGCUAGCGUUGUUCGGAAUUACUGGGCGUAAAGCGUGCGCAGGCGGCCUUCCAAGUCAGGGGUGAAAGCCCAGAGCUCAACUCUGGAAUUGCCUUUGAGACUGUGAGGCUUGAGUACGGGAGAGGUGAGUGGAAUUCCCAGUGUAGAGGUGAAAUUCGUAGAUAUUGGGAAGAACACCGGUGGCGAAGGCGGCUCACUGGCCCGUAACUGACGCUCAUGCACGACAGCGUGGGGAUCAAACAGG